This 299-nucleotide ribosomal RNA is filed under the name Antedon cf. parviflora AP377MV. RNAcentral describes it as "partial 16S ribosomal RNA". It matches the Rfam family "Bacterial large subunit ribosomal RNA", at positions 2257 to 2643 of the family's 2925-position model. The record is from RNAcentral. Lineage: Eukaryota; Metazoa; Echinodermata; Crinoidea; Comatulida; Antedonidae.
AAAAAAAAUAUCUUUGGUUGGGGCAACCACGAAGAAAAAGUAACCUUCGUUCUAAAAAAAAAUUUACAAAUAUAAAAUUUUUUAAAAAAGAUCCAGAAUUCUGAUCAAAGAAACAAGUUACCGCAGGGAUAACAGCGUUAUUCUCUUUGAGAGCCCGUAUUGACAAGAGAGUUUGCGACCUCGAUGUUGGACCGGGGCAUCCUAGAGGCGCAACAGCCUCUAAAGGUAGGUCUGUUCGACCAUUAAAGCCCUACGCGAUCUGAGUUCAGACCGACGAAAGUCAGGUCAGUUUCUAUCUA